This 434-nucleotide ribosomal RNA is filed under the name uncultured Pseudobutyrivibrio sp. RNAcentral describes it as "bacterial SSU rRNA". It matches the Rfam family "Bacterial small subunit ribosomal RNA", at positions 341 to 792 of the family's 1533-position model. The record is from RNAcentral. Lineage: Bacteria; Bacillati; Bacillota; Clostridia; Lachnospirales; Lachnospiraceae.
ACGGGAGGCAGCAGUGGGGAAUAUUGCACAAUGGGCGAAAGCCUGAUGCAGCGACGCCGCGUGAGCGAUGAAGUAUUUCGGUAUGUAAAGCUCUAUCAGCAGGGAAGAUAAUGACGGUACCUGACUAAGAAGCACCGGCUAAAUACGUGCCAGCAGCCGCGGUAAUACGUAUGGUGCAAGCGUUAUCCGGAUUUACUGGGUGUAAAGGGAGCGUAGGCGGCAUGGCAAGUCUGAUGUGAAAACCCAGGGCUCAACCCUGGGAUUGCAUUGGAAACUGUCAAGCUAGAGUGUCGGAGGGGUAAGUGGAAUUCCCAGUGUAGCGGUGAAAUGCGUAGAUAUUGGGAGGAACACCAGUGGCGAAGGCGGCUUACUGGACGAUUACUGACGCUGAGGCUCGAAAGCGUGGGGAGCAAACAGGAUUAGAUACCCUGGUA